Molecule: ribosomal RNA, 492 nt
Filed under: uncultured bacterium
Lineage: Bacteria
Description: partial 16S ribosomal RNA
Rfam family: Bacterial small subunit ribosomal RNA
Source: RNAcentral
AGUGAACGCUGGCGGUAGGCCUAACACAUGCAAGUCGAACGGCAGCACAGUAAGAGCUUGCUCUUACGGGUGGCGAGUGGCGGACGGGUGAGGAAUACAUCGGAAUCUACUUUUUCGUGGGGGUUAACGUAGGGAAACUUACGCUAAUACCGCAUACGACCUACGGGUGAAAGCAGGGGAUCUUCGGACCUUGCGCGAUUGAAUGAGCCGAUGUCGGAGUAGCUAGUUGGCGGGGUAAAGGCCCACCAAGGCGACGAUCCGUAGCUGGUCUGAGAGGAUGGUCACCCACACUGGAGCGUGGACACGGUCCAUGGGCCUACGAUACGCAGCAGUGGGGAAUAGUAGACAGUAGGCGCAAACCUGGUCCAGCCAUACCGCGUGGGUGAAGGAAGCCUUCGGGUUGUGAAGCCCUUUUGUGGGGAAAGAAAAGCAGCAGGUUAAUACCCCGCUGUUCUGACGGUACCCAAAAAAUAAGCACCGGCUAACUUCGUG